GACGAACGCUGGCGGCGUGCUUAACACAUGCAAGUCGAACGGAAAGGCCCUGCUUUUGUGGGGUGCUCGAUUGGCGAACGGGUGAGUAACACGUGAGUAACCUGCCCUUGACUUUGGGAUAACUUCAGGAGACUGGGGCUCAUACCGGAUAGGAGCUACUGCUGCAUGGUGGGCGUUGGAAAGUUUCGGCGGUUGUGGAUGGACUGGCGGCUUAUCAGCUUGUUGGUGGGGUAGUGGCGUACCAAGGCUUAGACGGAUAGCCGGCAUGGGAGGGUGACCGGGGACAAGAGUCCUAAGGGACGGCCCAGUCGGCAAUGGGAGGCAGCGGUGGGAAGCAUGACGCAACGGGGCGGCGCCAGAGACAACGACGCCGGGAGCGUGAAGCCGUGUUUCGGGGUGAAAACCGCUUUGGCCGGAGAUGAAGACUGAUUGACGGUAACUAGUAAGAAAGCCCCGGCUAACUACGUG
Molecule: ribosomal RNA, 468 nt
Filed under: uncultured bacterium
Lineage: Bacteria
Description: partial 16S ribosomal RNA
Rfam family: Bacterial small subunit ribosomal RNA
Source: RNAcentral